GACGAACGCUGGCGGCGUGCUUAACACAUGCAAGUCGAACGGAAAGGCCCUGCUUUUGUGGGGUGCUCGAGUGGCGAACGGGUGAAUAACACGUGAGUAACCUGCCCUUGACUUUGGGAUAACUUCAGGAAACUGGGGCUAAUACCGGAUAGGAGCUCCUGCUGCAUGGUGGGGGUUGGAAAGUUUCGGCGGUUGGGGAUGGACUCGCGGCUUAUCAGCUUGUUGGUGGGGUAGUGGCUUACCAAGGCUUUGACGGGUAGCCGGCCUGAGAGGGUGACCGGCCACAUUGGGACUGAGAUACGGCCCAGACUCCUACGGGAGGCAGCAGUGGGGAAUAUUGCACAAUGGGCGGAAGCCUGAUGCAGCAACGCCGCGUGCGGGAUGACGGCCUUCGGGUUGUAAACCGCUUUCGCCUGUGACGAAGCGUGAGUGACGGUAAUGGGUAAAGAAGCACCGGCUAACUACGUGCCAGCAGCCGCGGUGAUACGUAGGGUGCGAGCGUUGUCCGGAUUUAUUGGGCGUAAAGGGCUCGUAGGUGGUUGAUCGCGUCGGAAGUGUAAUCUUGGGGCUUAACCCUGAGCGUGCUUUCGAUACGGGUUGACUUGAGGAAAGGUAGGGGAGAAUGGAAUUCCUGGUGGAGCGGUGGAAUGCGCAGAUAUCAGGAGGAACACCAGUGGCGAAGGCGGUUCUCUGGGCCUUUCCUGACGCUGAGGGGCGAAAGCGUGGGGAGCGAACAGGCUUAGAUACCCUGGUAGUCCACGCUGUAAACGGUGGGUACUAGGUGUGGGGUCCAUUCCACGGGUUCCGUGCCGUAGCUAACGCUUUAAGUACCCCGCCUGGGGAGUACGGCCGCAAGGCUAAAACUCAAAGGAAUUGACGGGGCCCCGCACAAGCGGCGGAGCAUGCGGAUUAAUUCGAUGCAACGCGUAGAACCUUACCUGGGUUUGACAUGGAUCGGGAGUGCUCAGAGAUGGGUGUGCCUCUUUUGGGGUCGGUUCACAGGUGGUGCAUGGCUGUCGUCAGCUCGUGUCGUGGGAUGUUGGGUUAAGUCCCGCAACGAGCGCAACCCUUGUUCACUGUUGCCAGCACGUUAUGGUGGGGACUCAGUGGAGACCGCCGGGGUCAACUCGGAGGAAGGUGGGGAUGACGUCAAGUCAUCAUGCCCCUUAUGUCCAGGGCUUCACGCAUGCUACAAUGGCUGGUACAGAGAGUGGCGAGCCCGUGAGGGUGAGCGAAUCUCGGAAAGCCGGUCUCAGUUCGGAUUGGGGUCUGCAACUCGACCUCAUGAAGUCGGAGUCGCUAGUAAUCGCAGAUCAGCAACGCUGCGGUGAAUACGUUCCCGGG
This 1344-nucleotide ribosomal RNA is filed under the name uncultured bacterium. RNAcentral describes it as "16S ribosomal RNA". It matches the Rfam family "Bacterial small subunit ribosomal RNA", at positions 28 to 1378 of the family's 1533-position model. The record is from RNAcentral.